Triplophysa dalaica is the source of this 743-nucleotide long non-coding RNA. RefSeq lists it as uncharacterized. Lineage: Eukaryota; Metazoa; Chordata; Actinopteri; Cypriniformes; Nemacheilidae. The record is from RefSeq and is a predicted model, not a curated record. The transcript has 3 exons.
ACACGUUUGUCUUCAUGUUUACUUGUCUUUUUACAUGUAUGUUUGUGUCUUUAUUUAUUUAUAAUUCUUUAUGUUCGUGGCUGACAGGCUGCUAGAUUAUCUGUGGUGCAGUGGUCCUGAGCGCCCCCAGGUGGCAUGGAUGUACUAUAUAGUUAAUAAACUCCACAUGUAAACUAACGGGGUACACUCCAAACUAAAAAGCCGCUAGAGAACAAAAAAAACAUUUGAGUUAUUUCUAAUCACGCGGAUGAAUGUUCAAAUUUAACAUUUCCUAAUAAGUUUGGUUUUAGAUAGUUAUGUUUUAAAAAGCGGCGUGGUGGUAAGAUGAUUUCUUCGUUUACGAUUGAGUGGGCGGGGCUCCACCUCCCCUUUACUACGGCUCAAAAUGACGUCAUCGGCUAUUGGGCUACAUUUUUAUAGCGUUGAAGUGAAUAAAGACACGUCGUCCAUCUUUUUUAACGGUCUAACUGAACUGAUUGUAACUGACUGCUUUAACCUGAACAUGACUAUGAAACUCUUGAGGCUAUAUUGGAGACGUCAGUGUCGUGAGCAGACAGGAAGUUGGAGACGGGACGACAGGGAAUGCCCAAGCAUCUCAUCACUAGAGGGUGACAAAAACACGCACUCCUCCACAUUUGUAGUACUGUUUCAGAAUGGGAGCACUGCCACACCAGGCUGUAGGAGCAAUUCCACCUCCAUAGCAGCUGGACCAGUUACCCAUCAACACACCGCAUUCUUUGUUG